GACAUGGGGUAGCUGCUUCUUCAGAGAGGAGCUUUGGCUACACCCACUGAUUGCAUUCAAUGCUGAAGCCUCGUCCUGUCUCCCAGCUGGUUGCUCAGCGGGUAGCGCCGCAGUUCGCCUCGCCCACGCUGCUGCCCAAGAAGGACAAGAAGGACAGAACGGACCAGGAGAAGAAUGACAAAGAGCCCACAGUGAAGAAGAACAGCCACAAGAAGAUGAGGUAAACAUUCACAGAUAAACAACUGUUUAUCAUGAACCUGUUGCAUUUAACCUGUAGUAGUAGUAUGAUAGUGUGAGUAGUAGUAUGAUAGUGUGAUUAGUAGUAUGAUAGUGUGUAGUAGUAGUAUGAUAGUGUGAGUAGUAGUAUGAUAGUGUGAGUAGUAGUAUGAUAGUGUGAGUAGUAGUAUGAUAGUGUGAGUAGUAGUAUGAUAGUGUGAGUAGUAGUAUGAUAGUGUGAGUAGUAGUAUGAUGGUGUGAUUAGUAGUAUGAUAGUGUGAGUAGUAGUAUGAUAGUGUGAUUAGUAGUAUGAUAGUGUGAGUAGUAGUAUGAUAGUGUGAGUAGUAGUAUGAUAGUGUGAGUAGUAGUAUGAUAGUGUGAGUAGUAGUAUGAUAGUGUGAGUAGUAGUAUGAUAGUGUGAGUAGUAGUAUGAUAGUGUGAAUAGUAGUAUGAUAGUGUGAGUAGUAGUAUGAUAGUGUGAGUAGUAGUAUGAUAGUGUGACAGUAGUAGUAUGAUAGUGUGACUAGUAGUAGUAUGAUAGUGUGACUAGUAGUAGUAUGAUAGUGUGACUAGUAGUAGUAUGAUAGUGUGAUUAGUAGUAGUAUCAGUAUGUUAGUGUGAUUAGUAGUAGUAGUAUGAUAGUGUGAUUAGUAGUAGUAGUAUGAUAGUGUGAUUAGUAGUAGUAUGGUGUGAGUAGUAGUAGUAUGAUAGUGUGUUUAGUAGUAGUAGUAGUAUGAUAGUGGGAUUAGUAGUAGUAGUAUGAUAGUGUGAGUAGUAGUAUGGUGUGAUUAGUAGUAGUAGUAGUAUGAUGGUGUGAUUAGUAGUAUGAUAGUGUGAGUAGUAGUAGUAUGGUAGUGUGAUUAGUAGUAUGAUAGUGUGAUUAGUAGUAUGAUGGUGUGAUUAGUAGUAUGAUGGUGUGAGUAGUAGUAUGAUAGUGUGAGUAGUAGUAUGAUGGUGUGAGUAGUAGUAGUAUGGUAGUGUGAUUAGUAGUAUGAUAGUGUGAGUAGUAGUAUGAUAGUGUGAUUAGUAGUAUGAUGGUGUGAGUAGUAGUAUGAUAGUGUGAGUAGUAGUAUGGUGGUGUGAUUAGUAGUAGUAGUAGUAGUAGUAGUAGUAGGAUGGUGUGAUUAGUAGUAUGAUAGUGUGAGUAGUAGUAUGAUAGUGUGAUUAGUAGUAUGAUAGUAUGAUUAGUAGUAGUAGUAGUAGUAUGAUGGUGUGAUUAGUAAUAUGAUAGUGUGAUUAGUAGUAUGAUGGUGUGAUUAGUAGUAUGAUAGUGUGAUUAGUAGUAUGAUAGUGUGAUUAGUAGUAGUAUGAUAGUGUGAUUA
RNAcentral lists this long non-coding RNA (1538 nucleotides) under Salmo salar (Atlantic salmon). Its description in RNAcentral is "lncRNA (ENSSSAG00000104592.1)". Lineage: Eukaryota; Metazoa; Chordata; Actinopteri; Salmoniformes; Salmonidae. The record is from RNAcentral.